This 484-nucleotide ribosomal RNA is filed under the name uncultured bacterium. Its description in RNAcentral is "partial 16S ribosomal RNA". It matches the Rfam family "Bacterial small subunit ribosomal RNA", at positions 30 to 507 of the family's 1533-position model. The record is from RNAcentral.
AUUGAACGCUGGCGGCAGGCCUAACACAUGCAAGUCGAGCGGAUGAAGGGAGCUUGCUCCUGGAUUCAGCGGCGGACGGGUGAGUAAUGCCUAGGAAUCUGCCUGGUAGUGGGGGAUAACGUCCGGAAACGGGCGCUAAUACCGCAUACGUCCUGAGGGAGAAAGUGGGGGAUCUUCGGACCUCACGCUAUCAGAUGAGCCUAGGUCGGAUUAGCUAGUUGGUGGGGUAAAGGCCUACCACGGCGACGAUCCGUAACUGGUCUGAGAGGAUGAUCAGUCACACUGGAACUGGGACACGGUCCAGACUCCUACGGGAGGCAGCAGUGGGGAAUAUUGGACAAUGGGCGAAAGCCUGAUCCAGCCAUGCCGCGUGUGUGAAGAAGGUCUUCGGAUUGUAAAGCACUUUAAGUUGGGAGGAAGGGCAGUAAGUUAAUACCUUGCUGUUUUGACGUUACCAACAGAAUAAGCACCGGCUAACUUCGUG